This 459-nucleotide ribosomal RNA is filed under the name uncultured bacterium. Its description in RNAcentral is "partial 16S ribosomal RNA". It matches the Rfam family "Bacterial small subunit ribosomal RNA", at positions 338 to 795 of the family's 1533-position model. The record is from RNAcentral.
CCUACGGGAGGCAGCAGUGAGGAAUAUUGGUCAAUGGGCGGAAGCCUGAACCAGCCAAGUAGCGUGCGGGAUGAAGGCCCUACGGGUCGUAAACCGCUUUUGCACGGGGAUAACACCCUCCACUUGUGUAGUUCUGCCGGUACCGUGCGAAUAAGGGCCGGCUCAUUCCGUUCCAGCCGCCGCGGUAAUACGGAAGGCCCGAGCGUUAUCCGGAGUCAUUGGGCUUAAAGGGAGCGUAGGCGGGCGUUCAAGUCAGCUGUAAAAUCGCGUGGCUCAACCGCGCCCCGCAGUUGAAACUGGACGCCGUGAGUUCACAACAGGCAGGCGGAAUGCGUGGUGUAGCGGUGAAAUGCAUAGAGAUCACGAGGAACCCCGAUUGCGAAGGCAGCCUGCCGGGGUGCGACUGACGCUGAGGCUCGAAGGUGCGGGUAUCAAACAGGAUUAGAUACCCCAGUAGUC